AAUACUUGUCGCUUUGAGUUUUAUUUGCAACAUUUGAUCAUUCGUCUUAUUCAAAAAAUUAUGGAAUUAUUAUUUUUUGUGACUCGCUUUAUUAUAAAAAUACUUUAAGUAUGACGUAUCUUUUUUUAUAUUUACAUUAUUUUUUUAAAUAAGAUGAAUGGUCAAAUGUUGCAAGUAAAAAGUCAAAGCGACCACUAAU
Molecule: non-coding RNA, 199 nt
Organism: Oryza nivara
Lineage: Eukaryota; Viridiplantae; Streptophyta; Magnoliopsida; Poales; Poaceae
Source: Rfam